CGCGGGAUGGAGCAGUCUGGUAGCUCGUCGGGCUCAUAACCCGAAGGUCGUCGGUGGCUCAUAACCCGAAGGUCGUCGGUUCAAAUCCGGCUCCCGCAACCA
Molecule: transfer RNA, 102 nt
Filed under: Pseudomonas brassicacearum
Lineage: Bacteria; Pseudomonadati; Pseudomonadota; Gammaproteobacteria; Pseudomonadales; Pseudomonadaceae
Description: tRNA-Met
Rfam family: tRNA
About the family: Transfer RNA (tRNA) molecules are approximately 80 nucleotides in length. Their secondary structure includes four short double-helical elements and three loops (D, anti-codon, and T loops).
Source: RNAcentral